Long non-coding RNA from Cydia pomonella (codling moth), 2257 nucleotides. RefSeq lists it as uncharacterized. NCBI's taxonomy places the organism in Eukaryota, Metazoa, Arthropoda, Insecta, Lepidoptera, Tortricidae. The record is from RefSeq and is a predicted model, not a curated record. The transcript has 2 exons.
AUUAAUUAAAAUAAAAAACUGGCUAAGCGCUUUUAUAUUACUUAUAGAAGAAUAAUGUAGGUUUGCGAUUUUAUAGUAUUGAGAAGUAUCAAAUUAUAAUGCAGUUAGCGUGUUAGGUCGAGAUUCCAAGACCAGUCAAUAGAGAAUUCUUUUCUCUUUUAGAAUAUUUGUCCAAAUGAAAACUGGUAUUAUGCAGCUUUGAGCGGUUUUAGAGAUAGGACGGCAGCGUAGAGUAAUUAACUUCGGACUUCUUAAGUAUGACCAUAUCUCCUCUUUCCGUAGAAAACUUAAUUGGCUCCCUAUUCGAGGUCCCUUCGUAUUCUAUUUACUCUCUACUCAAUCUUGUUUGACCCGCUCACCCCAGAUUAUCUCGGUUCGAAAUUUAAAUUACUUACCCACGUCCAGGCACAGUGACAAUAAAUAUGAGUGAUAAAGUACGAAAUGGUACAUAAAUCAAAUUCCUUGACUCUACGAGUAUGUAGCUGAUAAAAUAAAUCCCAUAUCAUGGACAGAAACAAAGAUUGACAAACAAAAUUGGCCGAAAAUAUAAUGGUUAAUUGUUACAUAACCAAUGCCUGGCAUCAACGGAAAACUCACAAGGGCGCUCCUGCAACUAGGGAAGGUCCGACUGAGUAUGGUAACCAGUGUCAUAACAGGUCAUGGACUAUUUAACAAACAUCUUUUCACAACAGGUGUCACAGACAGUCCCCUGUGCCGAGGAUGCAUGGAGACAGAAGAAACAGCCUCUCACGUGGUGCUGGAAUGCAGCGGAGUGACUCCAUACAGGGCUAAACAUCUCGGAUCUCCGAGAGACCUCCCCGAGGUCCUACUCAACAUUAAAGGUUUGAUAGGAUUCCUCGAGGAGCUGGGCUGGCAGGACUAGCCCACCCCCAACAUAUCACGCAAAAUAGGCGCAAGUCGUCGAGUUGCGGAAAAUCGCCCGAAUACGAAUACGAAUACGAAAUACAUAACCAAACAAUCGUUUAGUCAUAACUAAGAUUGCUGUGAAACAUUUCGGCAACUCUUAUAUGAAAUUAGGUAUUAUUGAUGCGUUGUAUACACGUGUAUCAACUUCAGUCAUAAAUUCCAAGGACCCCAAAUAGUAUUGCAGGCAAUUCCCAAACAUUUGUUCUGUAGGUAAUAAUUUACCUGAAUUGAUCUCAGAAAAAUACUGGUAUGUUACUCUCAAUUAUUUUAGGACUUAUCUUUUUUCUUAAACGCAUACCAUUUUUGUGUUAAAUAUUGUGGUAAAAAGAUUAGACUCGUUUAAUCAGACAGUACUAGGACAGGGCAUUAACUAUUGCAUAUAAGAGUUAUUUUUGACAUUUCAAAAAAAUCCUAAAUUAGGAGAUUUGUGCUGACUGAUGAUGGCAUUGAUGCCAUAUUUAUCAGAGCUCCCUUUUCCGUUCGCUCCAGUCGCCAGCAGCAGUUUUAGUUAAUUAAAGAGCCAGCAGCAACAAGUUGUAUUGUGUUUUUGCCUUCUGUUGUAGGGUUUUUUUAACACACGGUUUUUUUUCUUUAUUUAUGAACAGUUUUGAAUAGUACUCCCAGUUAUUAAUAUAACCAAUUAAACCAUAACGGCAUCGCAGAUAUCACAUCUAACGGAAUAAUUAAUGACUUCCGAAACCCAAUCACGAACGCUACCCUCAAGUCGCCAAGAAACUUAUCUAAUAUAGUUAUCGGAAUAAUCCUAAUACUUUAGCUAAGCAGAUUUUCUAAAGUAAUAUCUAAUAUAAUCUUUUAAAUAAAAGUCACGUAAUUUUAGAGCAUGUUGAAACAGAUUAACCCUAAUAGCGGGAGCGGAGUUAUGUAAAGCCUAGAAAUUUUCUUUGUUUUUUCAAAACUAUAAAAUAAUGCGUGGAAUAGAAUGCCAAAAAAGACUAUUUGCAAAACAACCUCCAAAGUAUUUCCUUAUUCUUCUGAACCCUUCAAUUGACAAACGACAUCAUCCUAGCGUGAAAUAUGUAUUUCGCUUUUCACUAAGACCCCACGUCACCUGAUUGAUAGCGCAACUGCUCGAGCGUGACGGACCUUAAUAUACGAAAAUUAAUUCUCAGGCAUUAGGACAGAGUACCUACUUGUUUGUGUCAGCACUUAUACUUUAUGUUUGUGUAAAAGAGAAAACACAGUAAAUUUGUAUGAUAUUGUUGCAUUUGAUUAUGUUUACAUAAUCGAAUUGCGACGGGUGAAAACAAAGUAGUGAUACAUUACUUGCUAAAUUAUUUUAUAUGGAAAUAUAAAAUUCGUCCAUUUUUUU